AACACUAUAAAGUUGUACCAACGAGAUUGCACAUACCAUUGAGCCCAAUGCAUUGAUAAAUAAACACGUGUAGUACACCCGUCCACUAGAUGUUUCUCCAUUUUCAUUGCUUUGCUUUGGUUCUUUCGUUGGUUUUUUCAUAUUUCUCGUUUUCUUCCUUUUCUCCUCAAUUUUCCACUCUCCCCGUUCUCUCUCUUUUUGGUUCUUACUUCACUGCACUGAUGAAGUAUUACAUAUAGUUAAUUUUGUUUUAUUUAGUUUUUCAUUCAAACCUAUAUUUUAAGUGAAUUUAGCUGUUGAAACUAUAGAGGCAUCAGAAAAGGUGUCUCCUCCUUCUUUUCUUAUAUGCGUGUUUUAUCUGGUCUACUGUAUGUAUGUAGUUUUGGGGUUAAACUUUUUUCUCCUGAAAUUAUAGGUCUCCAGAUGGAAAUUAAUAAAUCUGCUAUCAUAAUAAAAAAAAAACAAAUUAUUGAGAAACAACAAAUGCAAUUCAGAAGUUGAUAUUCAAGCUGGAAAACAAAGUGUGCUUGCAUUUUUGAUCCUUUAUUAACUUCCGAGGAAGUAAAGCUUACCAGAAAUUUUGUAUAGACGGUAUUGCGACAGAUUCAAAGAUAAUAUAGAAAAGCUCUACAUGGUACUACAUGGGAGUCGAUCUUAUUUUUGAGAAAGGAAAAAGUUAAUAGAGAUGUUGGAGCUUAGAUGUCGCCCUUAACAGUGUUGGCUUCUUUCAAGAAAGGAAAAAGUUCACCACAGAGGUGCGCAGUGAUGAGACCAUUAGAGUUAGCAAAUUCUUUUUGGAGCACCUUAUUCAAAUUACUGGAAUUCUCAGUUGAUCAAUAACGAAAUCAAAAAGCUGGUAGGAAAGGACAAAAAGUACAUGGAGAGAAUACAUUUUCUUUCUAAAGAUGAGCAACUUUGAGUACCUAUUCUCUUCCACCAACUGAAAGUCCAUUAAACUACCGAAUUUUCCCCAGUCGUCAGUAACAGCCAGGUGUUAUUUACUUUGAUGAAUGGCAUACUAUUGUGAAAUAAAUAUGUUGGUAUGUUACUAUUUUAAAGCGAAUAUAAUGAGGCAAGUUAUCUUUUGAAUUUGUCUUUAGAUUCAUCAGACAUCUCUAAUUAGUUUCC
Molecule: RNA transcript, 1128 nt
Organism: Capsicum annuum
Lineage: Eukaryota; Viridiplantae; Streptophyta; Magnoliopsida; Solanales; Solanaceae
Exons: 6
Source: RefSeq, a predicted model, not a curated record